This 739-nucleotide ribosomal RNA is filed under the name uncultured bacterium. RNAcentral's name for it is "bacterial SSU rRNA". It matches the Rfam family "Bacterial small subunit ribosomal RNA", at positions 56 to 797 of the family's 1533-position model. The record is from RNAcentral.
UGCRGUCGAGGGGUAUUUGUAGCAAYACAGAGAGACCGGCGCACGGGUGAGUAACGCGRAKGSRACCUGCCCUUUACKGGAGGAUAGCCCGUAGAAAUGCGGAUUAAUACCCCAUAGUAAUGUUGGAUCGCAUGAUCUGGCAUUUAAAGUUUCGGCGGUAAAGGAUGGGCAUGCGUGACAUUAGCUAGUUGGCAGGGUAACGGCCUACCAAGGCUUCGAUGKCURGGGGUUCUGAGAGGAAGAUCCCCCACACUGGUACUGAGACACGGACCARACUCCUACGGGAGGCAGCAGUGAGGAAUAUUGGUCAAKGGGCGAGAGCCUGAACCAGCCAUCCCGCGUGCAGGAAGAAUGCCCUAUGGGUUGUAAACUGCUUUUUCGCAUGAAGAACACCUUUGACGUGUCAGAGGCUGACGGUAAUGCGUGAAUAAGCACCGGCUAACUCCGUGCCAGCAGCCGCGGUAAUACGGAGGGUGCAAGCGUUAUCCGGAUUUAUUGGGUUUAAAGGGUGCGUAGGCGGCUAUUUAAGUCAGKGGUGAAAUCCUGCAGCUCAACUGUAGAACAGCCAUUGAAACUGAAUAGCUUGAGUAAUCUUGAGGUAGGCGGAAUGUGUAGUGUAGCGGUGAAAUGCUUAGAUAUUACACAGAACACCGAUUGCGAAGGCAGCUUACUAAGGAUUCACUGACGCUGAUGCACGAAAGCGUGGGGAUCAAACAGGAUUAGAUACCCUGGUAGUCCA